CUUCGCCCGCCUCUACAGCCGUUGCCCCCACAGCUAAGGAGCCCGCCUUCAGGAGCAAGGUUAGCCUGCACUUUGGUCACCCUUCAUAUUCUAUUUUUCUUGUGCAAUCGCUAUAGUCCAACAUGCUAAGAUCUCGGUUCACAACCUUUAAGGAUAAUCUACCUAUCAUCACUUUCGCUAUUUUGAAAUUAAUAGUCCGUGACCCAGCCAUCUAAUGGUUUCAUAUGUGCUCACUUCACAGCUAGACGGAGAUAAGAUAUAUACCUUACCCAUUACUCAAUUUAGCCAAACGUGCGUUUCCUGAUUACUACAUUUCUUACUGGUAUGUUGGUUCAGAUACAUCCCUUCUAUGAAGAGCUUAAGAAAUUUGACGACGGUGCUUGCUAUGCUCAAGGUCCAUACAUGGAGAAAAUGGGAAAAUGAAGCAUUUAGGGAUAAUCACGAAUCUUUUUCCCGUGAUUGCCUAUGUAUCAGUAACUAGAAGGCGGCCACCAGCACUGACCAAAUCAUAUUCGUGAUGCUGUAUAUAUUUAACUACUAUGUAACCACCAGUAUGUUGAUGUUAGCUCAUCUUAAGUAAUGUUCCCUUACAACAGACUAUCAUGUAUGGCCCUGCUUUGGGUGUUCGAUAGAGAAGGUGACCAUCCUGCGAAAAGGUAGUUUUGCACUUCGAAAGAAGUAUGUUUCUUUUCGGGAACGGAAGAAAUUUAUUUGGAUCCAAAUCCAAGUGAUUCUUUAUGGUUGUUUACGUCAUUGCUCCAAUGCGAAAAAAGUAGUCCGCUCUUGAGAUACAAAGGUAACAGUGCAAAAAUGUGUCCCCCCUUUACCUGAACAGAUACUAGCGGAAGCAUUUAACUAUUGUAAGUGAUUUUUUCACUAUCCAAUAUCUUUAUUUUUGUCGAUUGCUAAAAUUCUUCAUGUCUCCAUAUGUAGAUAUUACUCGGUUGGCAAAUCUGAUGUGUUAAAAUUGCAUUAAUGAACAGUCUUGAAUUUAAUUUUUUAGACUACCAUCUUAUAUUUUAAAACAGAUGGCUUUAAUAAAAUAGGAUGAUGCCCAAUCACAAUGGUUAGUACUUUCUUACUGCUUAACGUUGUUUAUUUGCCGCGUGGAGGACAUAGAUGUGACACUUUAUGCAUAUGCACCCACAAACAUGUAGAUUAUUCUCAUUCCACUUGUUUUUUGCCAGAAAAAAUGUGAUUGAUUGGCGAUAGAUGUCAUGUCAUCAAUGUAGUGUGAUAAAAUACUUCUUUCUGUGUUCUUACUUCAUCAGGAUCUGAACUAUGUUUUGUAUAUCCUCAUUUCACAUAAUUUUGUCUAAUAGGUGUUCCACUAUGCCUUUGGGUAUUCCUUAUUAUGAAAUUGGAAGAUCUGUUGGUUUGGAUUAUGCCCUAUAUGUAGUGAAAAUCUGUUUGUGAUGUUCCUUGUGGUUAAUGUUCCAUUCAAGUGGUGUUGAAUUAAUUGUAUUCUUCCUAAUGCCAAGGGAGGCGGUUUAGCAUGAAGCACUGAGAUAGAACUUUCUUCUAUGAAGAAGCAUCAUGCCGAUACACAAGUAUCAAUGAGCAACCUCAUCCAGAAUGGGGGAACAAAGAAUGGGAGAAGAGAAAAUAAAAUUAGGUUUAUCUAGCAUCCAAUAAGAUAAUGUGUUGCCUAAAAAUCUAAGUAUAAUUGAAUACUAAAAAUGUCAGAAGAUUUUGUUUGUAUAUAAGUAUAGGAUUGCAUGUUCGAGCUACUACAACAUGUCAUACGU
Lolium rigidum is the source of this 1748-nucleotide long non-coding RNA. RefSeq lists it as uncharacterized. Lineage: Eukaryota; Viridiplantae; Streptophyta; Magnoliopsida; Poales; Poaceae. The record is from RefSeq and is a predicted model, not a curated record. The transcript has 4 exons.